CAGUCGCCGCGGUAAUACGUAGGUGGCAAGCGUUGUCCGGAAUUAUUGGGCGUAAAGGGCUCGCAGGCGGUUUCUUAAGUCUGAUGUGAAAGCCCCCGGCUCAACCGGGGAGGGUCAUUGGAAACUGGGAAACUUGAGUGCAGAAGAGGAGAGUGGAAUUCCACGUGUAGCGGUGAAAUGCGUAGAGAUGUGGAGGAACACCAGUGGCGAAGGCGGCUUUUUGGCCUGUAACUGACACUGAGGCGCGAAAGCGUGGGGAGCAAACAGGAUUAGAUACCCCUGUAGUCCCUGUCUCUUAUAC
This 301-nucleotide ribosomal RNA is filed under the name uncultured bacterium. Its description in RNAcentral is "partial 16S ribosomal RNA". It matches the Rfam family "Bacterial small subunit ribosomal RNA", at positions 509 to 807 of the family's 1533-position model. The record is from RNAcentral.